RNAcentral lists this small RNA (83 nucleotides) under Marmota monax (woodchuck). The record is from RNAcentral. Lineage: Eukaryota; Metazoa; Chordata; Mammalia; Rodentia; Sciuridae.
GCCAGGCGUGGUAGUGCACACCUGUAAUCCCAGCAGCUCAGGAGGCAGAGGCAGGAGGAUUGUGAAUUCAAAGCCAGCCUCAG